AUGGGAUCCCUGCAGACCGUACCGAGAACCGACACUGGUGCCCUAGGUGAGAAGCCUAAGGUGUGUCGGGUCUACUCCGUGGCGAGGGAACUCGGCAAAUUAGCCCCGUAACUUCGGGAGAAGGGGUGCCUGUGGUUUUGGCUUAGGCUGGAACCGCAGGUUGCAGUGACAAGGGGGUCCCGGCUGUUUACUAAAAACAUAGGGAGCCGCAAGCCCGAAAGGGUGUGUACGGCUCUUGAAUCCUGGCCAGUGGCGGUACCUGAAACCCGGUUCCAACCGGGCUAAGGGCCGCUAAACGCCGGGAGUAACUCUGACUCUCUUAAGGUAGCCAAAUGCCUUGUCGGGUAAGUUCCGACGUGCAUGAAUGGAUCCACGAGGGCCCCACUGUCCCCGCCCGGAACCCGGUGAACCCACAUAACCUGGACGAACAGUCCAGGAACCCCCAACGGGGAGAGAAGACCCCGUGGAGCUUUACUGCAGCCUGCCGCUGGGACAUGGCUUUGGAUGCAGAGUGUAGGCGGGAGUCGAUGAAACAACCUCUCCGGAGGUUGUGAAGACACCAAUGGAACACCGCCCUUCCAAGGCUGUGUCCCUAACCAAGGGGUCAACCCUUGGGACAACGACAGGUGGGCAGUUUGGCUGGGGCGGCACUCCCUUGAAAAGAUAUCAAGGGAGCCCAAAGCUCGGCUCAACUGGGACAGAAACCCAGUGUAGAGGGCAAGGCCAAAAGCCGGGCUGACUGGGUCCUCCAAAGCAAGGGACCCAGAGGCGAAAGCCGGGCCUAGCGAUCCUUCAUGUCCCCAUUAGUGGGGGCUGGAGGUGACAGAAAAGUUACCCCGGGGAUAACAGGCUUGUCGCGGGCGAGAGUUCCCAUCGACCCCGCGGUUUGGUACCUCGAUGUCGGCUCUUCCUAUCCUGGCGGUGUAGCUGCCGCCAAGGGUGGGGCUGCUCGCCUAUUAAAAGGGAACGUGAGCUGGGUUUAGACCGUCGUGAGACAGGUCGGACUCUACCUGUUGGGGGUGUUGGCUGCCUGAGGGGAAGGUGUCCUCAGUACGAGAGGAACGGGGUGUCGCAGCCUCCGGUUUACCGGUUGUCCGGUUGGGCAGGUGCCGGGCAGCUGCGCUGUUGGGGAUAAGAGCUGAAAGCAUCUAAGCUCGAAGCCCUUCCCGAAACUAGGCAGCCGUUCCACAACCUUUGGGGUCUGGUAACAGACCUUUUUUUGGGUUGUGGACGAGGGCUGGGGUAGAAGACCCCGUUGAUGGGGUGGGUGUGUAAGCACCAAGAACCGUUUGGUUCGAGGUGUUUAGCACGCCACUCCCAAUCGCCCGAGGUGUCAGGG
RNAcentral lists this ribosomal RNA (1339 nucleotides) under Nitrososphaerota archaeon. RNAcentral describes it as "bacterial LSU rRNA". It matches the Rfam family "Archaeal large subunit ribosomal RNA", at positions 1720 to 2987 of the family's 2987-position model. Lineage: Archaea; Thermoproteati; Nitrososphaerota. The record is from RNAcentral.